CACGUUUGUUGUCUAUAAUGGGAGGUGGCCACCACCGCCAUUUUGACCGUGUCACAGGUUCCGUCCAGCCCAGACAAUUCCAUAAAAGGGAAGAGAGGAGGUGCUGAGGGUGUGGCUGUAAGGCUGGGCUCGAGUGACGACACCCAGGCGAACUAGCUACGAGCUAACCUGAAGCUAACCCUGGCUAACCCAAAGCUAAAGCGGAGGUGGGAGCCGAGCUAACGGAUGUAGCCACCUAGCUUCAACCCAACCGGAGCUAACUGGAACACCCAUCGACCUGAACCUUACACGGAGUUUAGGUGGAGGUUUUCUGCGCCUGUUCGUGAGAAGUACCUGUAUUAAAAAAGUUUUAAAUCGGUAAGUUUAUAAUUUAUUUCCGUAAUGAAAACAUUUUGCUUUGAGCAAGUUUUCAGUAGUUUUUUUCGGCGCUAUCACUCCUGAGUCGCACCAGCCAUUAAAUGUAUCAUGAAUAAGAGAAAAUAUAUUUAAGUCGUAUUUUGGGGGGACAUUUUAUUAUCUUUCUUACAAAAUCUGAGACCAAGCGUUUCACAUUGCAACACAAGCACCGGUAACCAUAACAGAAUGAACAACAGCCAGCAGAGGAGAGGAUGGCGGUGUUUCAAACCCUCCCGGCCGGCGAGGACAGCUCAUUCCUGGGCUGGAGCCGGCCCUCAGCACCCCGCCACAGGCUCUAACAGAUGCUGGCGGUGUUUGAAACCCUCCCAGCGGGACAGGGGGACUCAUUCUUGUGUGGGUCGGAGUCGGCCCGCAGCAGCGCGGUGUAGCCUACAUAUUUUGUUAUAUAAGUCGCUCCGGAGUAUAAGUAGCAGGACCAGCCAGAAUAUGUAAAAAAGUGCGAGUUAUAGUCCGGAAAAUAUUGCAGUUAUUAGUAUUCGAGCUAAAUUAGCAGCGUAAAUACAUUUCAUAUAUUUCCAAAAUGUUAUACUUGUUUGUAUCUUGUACAGCCAACUAGUCUUUAUUCUGGACUCAGUACAAUUUACCAAAAGUAAAGAGACAUUCUACAGAUGAAGUAAGCACAAGAUAACUUACUGGAAGACACGGAAUUAUCAUCAGAACCAGAGAGCCUGAUAACAGUCGUGAAAAUAACAGUUAAAAAGUAUGUAUGUAUAAUAGAAAUAAAAAUAUAUUAGAAUUAGUGUAACUCACUGUGAUCCAAACAAUAAAUCAGCCAUAGCUGAUUAGUAAAUAUGACAUGAGGUCUGGGAGUUUUUAAUUUUAAUUUUUUUGUUAGAUCUGUUUAAAUGUCACCAUGGCAGCCUGUGUGUCUCCAACAUCAGCUACACAAAGCAGCAAGUCCAUUUGGAUCAUUGGAGACAGCUGAGUGAGGCGUGGUGCCCAGAGAGCUGCAGAGACAACCUUGGCCUCCCUGACGUCUGUGUCUCCUGGUUCGGUUGGGGUGGACCAUCGACAUACAUACAUGUGCCGACACUUUGCGCCCUGUUUUAUAAAAUGUAGUGUUAAAAAUAAAUGUUUUUGCUCAA
Nothobranchius furzeri (turquoise killifish) is the source of this 1502-nucleotide non-coding RNA. NCBI's taxonomy places the organism in Eukaryota, Metazoa, Chordata, Actinopteri, Cyprinodontiformes, Nothobranchiidae. The record is from RefSeq and is a predicted model, not a curated record.